RNAcentral lists this long non-coding RNA (500 nucleotides) under Triticum aestivum (bread wheat). Its description in RNAcentral is "long non-coding RNA (TAES_LNC002180)". Lineage: Eukaryota; Viridiplantae; Streptophyta; Magnoliopsida; Poales; Poaceae. The record is from RNAcentral.
CCAUUCACAAGGUCUGGGUCCAUCCAUGAAAUCGCUCCCCUCUCGCCGCCGGUGGCAAGGGCCUCGGACGUUUCAAAGAACGUGAUUCCUGACCUGUGUCAUCCAACAAAAUCAUUGCAAACAUGGAAGAGCGACGGGCUUAGCCUAAAGCAUCUGAAACUGAAAGCCAUUUUGAUAGCAAGAGCAGGUAGGUCUAAUUUGCGGACAAUUGAUUUGGAUGAGCAAUUUAUGUUCCUGCCAACACUACCAACAAGCAGGAAACGGCAGUUGCUUAAAAAGGCAGGCACUUACUAGUAGUGUUUACUCCUCGACAGAAACAGAACUGACGGCUGAACACUACACAUCACAUUCAUCCGCAUAAACAGCCUGCGAAAGAACAACUCACAUGCUGGAGCGGUACAAGCUUCAGGUCUCCAAGCAGACAACUUUCAGGAGGAGGACGUCCGGCCAGGCUAGUUUGUCUCAGGGCAGCAACAAACAGCCCCUUGAGUCCUUGACCC